AGACUAAAUUUUAAGUUUUGAAAACUUUUGAGGAGUUUAUAUUCUUAGUCUG
This 52-nucleotide transfer RNA is filed under the name Thelazia callipaeda (thelaziosis nematode). Its description in RNAcentral is "tRNA-Ser2". The record is from RNAcentral. Lineage: Eukaryota; Metazoa; Nematoda; Chromadorea; Rhabditida; Thelaziidae.